This 749-nucleotide ribosomal RNA is filed under the name Microbacterium sp. RNAcentral describes it as "bacterial SSU rRNA". It matches the Rfam family "Bacterial small subunit ribosomal RNA", at positions 70 to 832 of the family's 1533-position model. Lineage: Bacteria; Bacillati; Actinomycetota; Actinomycetes; Micrococcales; Microbacteriaceae. The record is from RNAcentral.
GAAGCCUAGCUUGCUGGGUGGAUUAGUGGCGAACGGGUGAGUAACACGUGAGCAACCUGCCCCUGACUCUGGGAUAAGCGCUGGAAACGGCGUCUAAUACUGGAUACGAACAAGAAUCGCAUGGUUACUUGUUGGAAAGAUUUUUUGGUUGGGGAUGGGCUCGCGGCCUAUCAGCUUGUUGGUGAGGUAAUGGCUCACCAAGGCGUCGACGGGUAGCCGGCCUGAGAGGGUGACCGGCCACACUGGGACUGAGACACGGCCCAGACUCCUACGGGAGGCAGCAGUGGGGAAUAUUGCACAAUGGGCGGAAGCCUGAUGCAGCAACGCCGCGUGAGGGAUGACGGCCUUCGGGUUGUAAACCUCUUUUAGCAGGGAAGAAGCGAGAGUGACGGUACCUGCAGAAAAAGCGCCGGCUAACUACGUGCCAGCAGCCGCGGUAAUACGUAGGGCGCAAGCGUUAUCCGGAAUUAUUGGGCGUAAAGAGCUCGUAGGCGGUUUGUCGCGUCUGCUGUGAAAUCCCGAGGCUCAACCUCGGGCCUGCAGUGGGUACGGGCAGACUAGAGUGCGGUAGGGGAGAUUGGAAUUCCUGGUGUAGCGGUGGAAUGCGCAGAUAUCAGGAGGAACACCGAUGGCGAAGGCAGAUCUCUGGGCCGUAACUGACGCUGAGGAGCGAAAGGGUGGGGAGCAAACAGGCUUAGAUACCCUGGUAGUCCACCCCGUAAACGUUGGGAACUAGUUGUGGGGUCCAU